This 643-nucleotide long non-coding RNA is filed under the name Panax ginseng (ginseng). RNAcentral's name for it is "long non-coding RNA (PGIN_LNC018609)". The record is from RNAcentral. Lineage: Eukaryota; Viridiplantae; Streptophyta; Magnoliopsida; Apiales; Araliaceae.
CAUGAACAUCAUACAAUUCAAAUAAGAUUGUCAAAUUACAUAAGCUAGUAAGUGAGUGCAAGAAUAUUAGACAAAAUUAAAUAUUUUUAUUGUAUACCUGAUACUCAUCAGAAGUAAGGUACUCAUCACUAAAUUUAUGUAACUUAGAUUAUUACAUCCAAUCAGUCCCCCUAAUUAUUCAAGUACCCCGAAUUCCUAAUCAACCCAUUUCAUAUAAGUAAAGUACCCCCAAAUUUAUAAAAAGAAAUCGAAAUCAUCACUAAUUGAAACAACGGUCCAAAACUGAAUUAAUACAAAAUACAGCAAUAAUCUAACAUUAAAUCCAGUUUGGACAAACAAGCCUCAUUCAUGAAGGACGAGACCACUGGAAACAAAGACCCAUGACCAGAUGAACCCAGGUUCCAGUGAAAACAAAAUAAGAAUUGCUUAAUGACAAAGAUGAACAGGAAAUCCACACAACCAGUUUUGAACGAAACCAUCUUCCAAAACCCCAGACACCAACAACCAUCAACAUCUAAAAUCCCAAACUAAAGGCCUAUAGUAGAUCUUCCACACCAGAUCAUAACCCCCAAAACCAACAAAGGAAGAGGACGAAAUGGUGGGCCGAAGUGGAGGAGGAGGAGGGGAGGGAAGAACCGGUGGG